Molecule: ribosomal RNA, 468 nt
Filed under: uncultured bacterium
Lineage: Bacteria
Description: partial 16S ribosomal RNA
Rfam family: Bacterial small subunit ribosomal RNA
Source: RNAcentral
GACGAACGCUGGCGGCGUGCUUAACACAUGCAAGUCGAACGGAAAGGCCCUGCUUUUGUGGAGUGCUCGAGUGGCGAACGGGUGAGUAACACGUGAGUAACCUGCCCUUGACUUUGGGAUAACUUCAGGAAACUGGGGCUAAUACCGGAUAGGAGCUCCUGCUGCAUGGUGGGGGUUGGAAAGUUUCGGCGGUUGGGGAUGGACUCGCGGCUUAUCAGCUUGUUGGUGGGGUAGUGGCUUACCAAGGCUUUGACGGGUAGCCGGCCUGAGAGGGUGACCGGCCACAUUGGGACUGAGAUACGGCCCAGACUCCUACGGGAGGCAGCAGUGGGGAAUAUUGCACAAUGGGCGGAAGCCUGAUGCAGCAACGCCGCGUGCGGGAUGACGGCCUUCGGGUUGUAAACCGCUUUCGCCUGUGACGAAGCGUGAGUGGCGGUAAUGGGUAAAGAAGCACCGGCUAACUACGUG